GCUAUCUGCAGUCGACGGCAGCACGUUCUCCGCAAGGAGAAUGGUGGCGAGUGGCGCACGGGUGCGUAACACGUAUGCAAUCUACCUUUAACUGGGGAAUAACCCCUCGAAAGAGGGGCUAAUACCGCAUAAAACUUUGAUGGGACAUCCCAAUGAAGUCAAACCUACGGGGGUUAAAGAUGAGCAUGCGUCCGAUUAGCUAGUUGGCGGGGUAACGGCCCACCAAGGCGACGAUCGGUAGGGGAUCUGAGAGGAUGAUCCCCCACACUGGUACUGAGACACGGACCAGACUCCUACGGGAGGCAGCAGUAAGGAAUAUUGGACAAUGGGCGCAAGCCUGAUCCAGCCAUGCCGCGUGCAGGAUGAAAGUGCUCUGCACUGUAAACUGCUUUUACUUGGGAAAAAACCCCUGGUUUCCACCGGGGCUGAUUGUACCAAGAGAAUAAGGGACGGCUAACUUCGUGCCAGCAGCCGCGGUAAUACGAAGGUCCCAAGCGUUAUCCGGAUUUAUUGGGUUUAAAGGGUGCGUAGGCGGGCUAUUAAGUCAGUGGUGAAAGCCCCAAGCUUAACUUGGGAACUGCCAUUGAUACUGAUGGUCUUGAGUACAUUUGAGGUGGGCGGAAUGUGUCAUGUAGCGGUGAAAUGCUUAGAUAUGACACAGAACACCGAUUGCGAAGGCAGCUCACUAAACUGUAACUGACGCUGAGGCACGAAAGCGUGGGGAGCAAACAGGAUUAGAUACCCUGGUAGUCCACGCCCCUAAACGAUGAUCACUCGAUGUGUGCGAUAUACUGUACGCGUCUGAGCGAAAGCAUUUAAGUGAUCCACCUGGGGAAGUACGACCGCAAGGU
RNAcentral lists this ribosomal RNA (851 nucleotides) under uncultured bacterium. RNAcentral describes it as "bacterial SSU rRNA". It matches the Rfam family "Bacterial small subunit ribosomal RNA", at positions 50 to 894 of the family's 1533-position model. The record is from RNAcentral.